UUGGUUAAGUUAGAAAGGGCGCACGGUGGAUGCCUUGGCACUAGGAGCCGAAGAAGGACGGGACUAACACCGAUAUGCUUUGGGGAGCUGUACGUAAGCGUUGAUCCAGAGAUUUCCGAAUGGGGGAACCCACUAUCUUUAGUCGGAUAGUAUCCUUACGUGAAUACAUAGCGUGAGGAAGGCAGACCCAGGGAACUGAAACAUCUAAGUACCUGGAGGAAGAGAAAGAAAAAUCGAUUUCCUGAGUAGCGGCGAGCGAAACGGAAAGAGCCCAAACCAAGAAGCUUGCUUCUUGGGGUUGUAGGACACUCUAUACGGAGUUACAAAAGAAAGUUAUAAAUGAAGCGGUCUGGAAAGGCCCGCCAAAGACGGUAACAGCCCGGUAGUUGAAAUGGCUUUCCCUCCAGAGUGGAUCCUGAGUACGGCGGAACACGUGAAAUUCCGUCGGAAUCCGGGAGGACCAUCUCCCAAGGCUAAAUACUCCCUAGUGACCGAUAGUGAACCAGUACCGUGAGGGAAAGGUGAAAAGCACCCCGGAAGGGGAGUGAAACAGUUCCUGAAACCGUGUGCCUACAAGUAGUUAGAGCCCGUUAAUGGGUGAUAGCGUGCCUUUUGUAGAAUGAACCGGCGAGUUACGAUUUGUUGCAAGGUUAAGCGGAAAAAGCGGAGCCGUAGCGAAAGCGAGUCUGAAUAGGGCGCAUAAGUAACAGGUCGUAGACCCGAAACCAGGUGAUCUACCCAUGUCCAGGAUGAAGGUAAGGUAAUACUUACUGGAGGUCCGAACCCACGCACGUUGAAAAGUGCGGGGAUGAGGUGUGGGUAGCGGAGAAAUUCCAAUCGAACUUGGAGAUAGCUGGUUCUCUCCGAAAUAGCUUUAGGGCUAGCCUCGAGGUAAAGAGUCAUGGAGGUAGAGCACUGUUUGGACUAGGGGCCCUUCUCGGGUUACCGAAUUCAGAUAAACUCCGAAUGCCAUGUACUUAUACUCGGGAGUCAGACUGCGAGUGAUAAGAUCCGUAGUCGAAAGGGAAACAGCCCAGACCACCAGUUAAGGUCCCCAAAUAUAUGUUAAGUGGAAAAGGAUGUGGGGUUGCUUAGACAACCAGGAUGUUGGCUUAGAAGCAGCCACCAUUGAAAGAGUGCGUAAUAGCUCACUGGUCGAGUGACCCCGCGCCGAAAAUGUACCGGGGCUAAACAUAUUACCGAAACUGUGGAUGAACCUCUUUAGAGGUUCGUGGUAGGAGAGCGUUCUAAGGGCGGUGAAGUCAGACCGGAAGGACUGGUGGAGCGCUUAGAAGUGAGAAUGCCGGUAUGAGUAGCGAAAGAAGGGUGAGAAUCCCUUCCACCGAAUAUCUAAGGUUUCCUGAGGAAGGCUCGUCCGCUCAGGGUUAGUCGGGACCUAAGCCGAGGCCGAUAGGCGUAGGCGAUGGACAACAGGUAGAGAUUCCUGUACCAGUGCUAAUUGUUUAACCGAUGGGGUGACACAGAAGGAUAGGGAAUCGCACGAAUGGAAAUGUGCGUCCAAGCAGUGAGUGUGAGAAGUAGGCAAAUCCGCUUCUCGCGAAGCAUGAGCUGUG
This 1574-nucleotide ribosomal RNA is filed under the name Listeria monocytogenes. RNAcentral's name for it is "partial 23S ribosomal RNA". It matches the Rfam family "Bacterial large subunit ribosomal RNA", at positions 1 to 1565 of the family's 2925-position model. The record is from RNAcentral. Lineage: Bacteria; Bacillati; Bacillota; Bacilli; Caryophanales; Listeriaceae.